Molecule: long non-coding RNA, 188 nt
Organism: Ornithodoros turicata
Lineage: Eukaryota; Metazoa; Arthropoda; Arachnida; Ixodida; Argasidae
Exons: 3
Source: RefSeq, a predicted model, not a curated record
UGCUUGCCUGCAGACACAGGUGCUAUCCAGAAAACCCGGAUUCGUGCUAUCGUAAUGAGUGGGACAAAGAGCCAUGCCUUAUUUUUGCCAAUGCUGCUAUGGGCAGGUGCUAUGACGGAGUAUGUUAUAGUAACGCAAAGUUCCAAGAGUUGGCCAAGACAAGACCACUUAAAACCUGGAUGCCCUGC